GCGUCUAGAAAGGAACAUGCGAGGACUUUUGUAAACUUUAUUGAAAUGGCAUCUUACCAGGGACUAUAAUAUGUUUGCGGUGUUAAAGAUAUGAUGUAACAACGUGUUAUCUAAAGAACUAUCUCAUUGUUUAUAUCCAAAUCAACAUACAAACCAGUGAAAUCGAGUUGAUGUGUGCAAUUUGACAGUUCGUGAAGAUGAAGCUUAAUAUUUUGAAAUAUAUGACAUACAUGGAAGAAUAAUUUGUAGAUAAAGUAUUUUCCACGAAUUCAACAACAUAAAUCAUGCUACAUUAUGGAGUGGAAGUUCAAUGAUAUUGUGUAAACAUUGUGUAAAUAUUUGCACACACUUUGGAGUGUAAGCAGAAAACUCAAAACAAUGCGGUCACACAAGUUUAACACGGAUCCUUACAGGAGUUCUAAUGAAGAAGAUUUAUAUUCAUAAAGGUUGCAAGCAAUUACCCUGUGGACAGUUUCAAGGUGUUUGCGGGACUUGUAAAAACACUAUAUACAACUCUAUACUAGAACCACUACUGAUUAGUUACAAAAAGCAAGGAGAAGGACAUGGUCAUGGUAUAUGACUUGCACUGGAACGUCAUGGAGAUUCGUUAUAGAUUUUACCAAGUGCCAGCAUAUACCUUCUCAGUUCCGCCUAGAUGAAUCAGAGAACUCUACCUCUCAGCCAGUCCUGUUUAACCUGCUGAAUUGAACUUGCCAAUGGAAUACUACUUAUAAUUAACUUUGAACAAUGACAGAAAAUACAUGACCUUGAUGAAACAUUGAGUCAAAUAUUUUCAUAUCUGUUGACUUGCUUAUUAUUUCUUGUACAAAUGUUUCAUCAUUUUUGGAACAUAAUAUUAUUAUUCUUAUCAACUGUUGAAAAUUGCUGAAAUAAAGAACAUAAUAUAAUUG
Molecule: long non-coding RNA, 911 nt
Organism: Mya arenaria
Lineage: Eukaryota; Metazoa; Mollusca; Bivalvia; Myida; Myidae
Exons: 3
Source: RefSeq, a predicted model, not a curated record